This 384-nucleotide ribosomal RNA is filed under the name Triticum aestivum (bread wheat). RNAcentral describes it as "partial small subunit ribosomal RNA". The record is from RNAcentral. Lineage: Eukaryota; Viridiplantae; Streptophyta; Magnoliopsida; Poales; Poaceae.
CACAACUUCAAGUGUAUGUUUUGGAAUGUGCGGGGUUUAAACUCCGGAGCCAAGCGCCCCGCCGUAUGUAGCAUCGUCACCUCAGACAUGCCUUCUAUUGUCUGCAUCCAAGAGACUAAACUUGCCCACAUCACGCUGCCACUUGUGGUCGAGACUCUCGGGCCUUCCUUCGACGGUUUCUUCUUUCUCCCUAUGGAGGAGACCCGGGGCAGUAUUCUUCUAGCCUGGCGUAGCUCUGUGCUAUUCGUUACCAGUCCUUCCUAUGGCUACCACCACAUCACGGCGGAGGUCUCCUCGCUCGCCGGUGAUCGGCGCUGGUGGCUAACUGGCGUCUACGGCCCUCAAAGCGAUGUCGAGAAGCUGCAAUUCCUUGCAGAUUUGUAG